RNAcentral lists this ribosomal RNA (241 nucleotides) under uncultured bacterium. RNAcentral's name for it is "partial 16S ribosomal RNA". It matches the Rfam family "Bacterial small subunit ribosomal RNA", at positions 95 to 334 of the family's 1533-position model. The record is from RNAcentral.
UAGGCGACCGGGUGAGUAACACGUGAUUAACCUACCUUCGAGUGGGGAAUAACUUCGGGAAACCGAAGCUAAUACCGCAUAACAUCCCAAGGACGAGAAGCCCAGGGAUCAAAGGAGCAAUUCGCUUGAAGAGGGGGUCGCGGCUGAUUAGCUAGUUGGCGGGGUAAUGGCCCACCAAGGCGAUGAUCAGUAGCCGGCCUGAGAGGGCGCACGGCCACACUGGAACUGAAACACGGUCCAG